RNAcentral lists this ribosomal RNA (451 nucleotides) under uncultured bacterium. Its description in RNAcentral is "bacterial SSU rRNA". It matches the Rfam family "Bacterial small subunit ribosomal RNA", at positions 328 to 792 of the family's 1533-position model. The record is from RNAcentral.
UGUCCAGACUCCUACGGGAGGCAGCAGUGGGGAAUAUUGGGCAAUGGAGGCAACUCUGACCCAGCAAUGCCGCGUGAGUGAUGAAGGUAAUUUUAUUGUAAAGCUCUUUUCUUUGGAACGAAUAAAUGACGGUACCAAAGGAAUAAGCCCCGGCUAACUACGUGCCAGCAGCCGCGGUCAUACGUAGGAUCCGAGCAUUAUCCGGAGUGACUGGGUGUAAAGAGUUGCGUAGGUGGCAUAAUAAGUAGCUAGUGAAAUCUGGUGGCUCAACCAUUCAGACUAUUAGCUAAACUGUUAAGCUCGAGACCGUUAGGGGUAACUGGAAUUUCUAGUGUAGGAGUGAAAUCCGUAGAUAUUAGAAGGAACACCAAUAGCGUAGGCAGGUUACUGGGACGGUUCUGACACUAAGGCACGAAAGCGUAGGGAGCAAACGGGAUUAGAUACCCCCGUA